Long non-coding RNA from Ictalurus punctatus (channel catfish), 1789 nucleotides. NCBI's taxonomy places the organism in Eukaryota, Metazoa, Chordata, Actinopteri, Siluriformes, Ictaluridae. The record is from Ensembl.
UACGAGUGUUAGUUACUGUGUUUGUUACUGAAUAGAAGAAUUGAUAGUUUACUGUGAUGAUGAACGCAAUAAUUAGACGAUUAGAUGUCCACAAUAUGCAUUUUUAAUUUGUAACACGUAUAUUACAAUCAAACAGUGUGAGGUCAGACUGAGUCGGGUCGGUGUCUAACGCGUCGUAGGUUCUGAAGUUCGUUGAGAACGGCUGGACGGAGCCUGGAACGUUUCCUCCUCCGGCUCUCACAUCAUCAUCUAUAAACACAGAUAUCAGUAUUUAUUAUUUUAUGCACAUCACAUAUACAUUCACAUGCAAGAGCUGAACACGAGUUCAUUAAUAAUACAUUUUUCAGGUUUGCAGAUCACUGUAUUGUCAUAUUUAAAUGUUGGUGUUGAGCGAGUGUAUGUAUUCAGCUGUGAUUCAUUAUAAAUGAGUGUUAAAAAUGAAGGUAGUAAAUGAAGGAUUGUGCGUGGUGACAGACAGCGUUAGUGUAGUGGGGUGUGUGUCGUGGUUAAAACGUCACCCUUAUUAACCACGUGGCCAAUGGGCGCUCUCCCUACCACAGUAUAUAAGUGGUUGUUUACGCCUCUCAGAAUGUGUCAUGGUCGAAAAGCCCGCCCCUUCCUUUCGUUGCUAUGGACUACAGAGGAGCUGAGUGUUUCCUGAGGUUUGGGGGGGGGGGGGGGGGUUCUUUGCUGCACCUUAGGCUUUACUUCAUUAAGGGUGGUUAUUAUUGCUGUGUUUAUUCUCAGUGAAUUUUGUGGGUAUGAUUCUGAUUAGUGGGGUGCUUUUCCCUUUUGUAUAGCUGGUGCUGUCGUACUAGCCUGCCCUUCAUACAGGAAGCCUCAGUCCUCCUAUGAUUAUUAUUAAUUUCCUCUUGUGAUUGUUUUAUUUGACCAAUGCCUGACUGUGUUGGAUGUUGCUUCUUUUAAAAAUAAUUCUUGGCCAGUCAUUUUAACGUAAAAAUAAAAUGUAUUUUUGUAUGGAAACCCAUGCCUCAUGCCUGUUCUAAGUGGAACGUACUUGUGUGUCUUUAUUUGGGUUAUUUUCCCCGUUUUCUCGGGGUGGCGUAGUUGGUACAAAACAAACGAGCCGCAUAGCUACAUGUGGCGUAGUUGUUGCAAAAAACGAGUCACAUUGCUACACGUGGCGUAGUUGUAGAGCGAAACGAGCCGCAUUACUACACAUGGCGUAGUCGGCAGGAUUUACAAAAAACAAGCUACUCUUAUCUCAUUAUUUAACAGAAAUGUCACGUUUUGGGUGACGAACCUUGACGCGUGAACAGGUUCCUGCUCCUCUUCCACGGCGUUAAUCUGCAGACAGACAGAUGUCCAACAACCGCCUGAAACAAACAACAACAAAUAUCAACAUCUAUCAUUUUUCUACAGUUGAGCGCAAAAGUUUACGUCCCCAAUGGCUUUCAAAUGUUUUGGGGGAAAAAAGCCUAACGAUGACCUCCUUCACCUGCAUCAACACGUCUUUGGACCGAAUAUUAAGAUUUCUCAUGAACAGAUACCGAAUGCAAAUUCAACACUUGGAAUCGACUCAAGACUUUUUAUCUCCUUAAUUUGUCAUGAAAUAACGAGGAAACAGGUCACACCUGGCCAUGAAACUGCUUACCAGUCAAUUGUCCCAUUACUUUUGAACCGUGUAAAUGGAGGGACUCUGUAAAAAAAAAAAAAAGGCUGUAAUUCCUAAACGGUUAAAAUGCUAUGUCAUGUAGAUGUGUUAUGUUGUAUUUUACACCUAAAAUGUUAAUGAAGCACAUUACAUAUUAAAAGAAUUUUGAAUGCA